CAGUAGCCGCGGGAAUACGGAGGGAGCUAGCGUUGUUCGGAAUUACUGGGCGUAAAGCGCACGUAGGCGGCUUUGUAAGUCAGAGGUGAAAGCCUGGAGCUCAACUCCAGAACUGCCUUUGAGACUGCAUCGCUCGAAUCCGGGAGAGGUGAGUGGAAUUCCGAGUGUAGAGGUGAAAUUCGUAGAUAUUCGGAAGAACACCAGUGGCGAAGGCGGCUCACUGGACCGGUAUUGACGCUGAGGUGCGAAAGCAUGGGGAGCAAACAGGAUUAGAUACCCCCGUAGUCCCUGUCUCUUAUAA
This 301-nucleotide ribosomal RNA is filed under the name uncultured bacterium. RNAcentral describes it as "partial 16S ribosomal RNA". It matches the Rfam family "Bacterial small subunit ribosomal RNA", at positions 509 to 809 of the family's 1533-position model. The record is from RNAcentral.